Long non-coding RNA from Pipistrellus kuhlii (Kuhl's pipistrelle), 767 nucleotides. RefSeq lists it as uncharacterized. The transcript is spliced from 3 exons. NCBI's taxonomy places the organism in Eukaryota, Metazoa, Chordata, Mammalia, Chiroptera, Vespertilionidae. The record is from RefSeq and is a predicted model, not a curated record.
GGCUUCCUUUCUCUCUUCCAUAUGAGAGACUUGACGACCGAGGGGGGCAGGGUAGGUGGCUCGCUCUCCCUAAAGCAGGUACUUUCCUCUGCCUACAGCGUGUGUCUCUCAGACCACCGCUGACAAGGUGCUGAUAUGUGGAAGUAGUUACCUCAGGUCGGCUGUUCCUGCAGCCAGGCUGGGAGCAGUCACUUCAAUGGAAAGCCUUGCGGUCCCUGCCAGCUCCUCUGGUCCACAGAUGUCUCCGGAUGUAGCCCCUUUUCGUGGUUGCACCGUGGGGAUUCGCAAGUGAUCAGCGCACCAGAGUUGAUACUGACCUUAAGGUGGACCUCCACAAAAGGAACCAAAGAAAUCUGUAGACUCUGCGUGUUCACCCAGGGAUCGCUUUCCUGGUAGUAAAAUGUAGCCAGCUUCUUUGUGGAAUGGAGUGAUCACUGGGUGCCAGGAACACUACGCUAUGAUGUGCAGAGGGGGAAAUGAAGGCUAGCUCAUCCAAAGGAAGCUUCAGGGGAAUUUUAGAUCAGCAGAAUGCAAUUAUCCAAGUUGGCAUUGUUCCAGGACUCCAAAAGCGAAUUCUAAAGAGUGUAUCUCCUUACAAGUACACAUGAAUCUUCUACUGCUUCUCUCUCCUCAAAUCAGUAACCAGCCGUGGUGACGUGGCCUCUGAAGAAGAGGAAGACUUAGGUCCUGGCAGCGGGGUGUGUAUAUUUGUUGGGAUGGGGGAGGAGGAAAGAUAAUUUCAUACGAAAUUCUGGAUUAAUGGAACA